RNAcentral lists this long non-coding RNA (6237 nucleotides) under Sus scrofa (pig). Its description in RNAcentral is "lncRNA (ENSSSCG00000055315.1)". The record is from RNAcentral. Lineage: Eukaryota; Metazoa; Chordata; Mammalia; Artiodactyla; Suidae.
AAGACAAGGAUGCCCACUCACCACUUUUAUUCAACAUAGUAUUGGAAGUCUUAGCCACAGCAAUAAAAAAACAAAAGAAAUAUAAAACGUAUCCAACUUGGAAGAGAAGAGGUGAAAUUGUCACUCUAUGCAGAUGGCAUGAUACUAUAUAUUGAAAACCCUAAGGAAUCCACACAAAAUCUACUCCAACUGAUCAAUGAAUUCAGCAAAGUAGCAGGAUAAUAAGAUUAACAUUCAGAAAUUGGUUGCAUUUCUGUAUACUAAAAAUGAAAUAUUAGAAUAGGACUGUAAAAAUACAAUACCUUUUAAAGUCACACCCCCAAAAAUUAAAUACCUAGGGGAAAAAACCUUACCAAAGAGGUGAAAGUCUUAUAUGCUGAGAACUAUAAAAUAUUAAUCACAGAAAUAAAAGAGGAAUCAAAGAAAUGGAAAGGUAUUACAUGCUCCUGUGUUGGAAGAAUUAAUAUUGUAAAAAUGACCAUACUACCCAAAGUAACCUACAGAUUGAUUGCAAUCCCUAUCAGAUUACCCAUGACAUUUUUCACAUAUUUAAAACAAUCCAAAAAUGUAUAUGGAACCAUAAAAGACCCAGAAUUGCCAAAGCAAUACUUAAAAACAAAAACCAAGCAGGAGGCAUAACUCUCUCAGACUUCAGACAAUGUUACAAAGCUACAGUAAUCAAGACAGUGUGGAACUGGUACCAAAACAGAGAUAGAGAACCCAUAAAUAAAUAAACCCAGACACCUAUGGCCAAUUGAUCUUUGACAGAGGAGGCAAGAAUAUAAAAUGGGGAAAAGACAGUCUUUUCAGCAAGUGGUGCUGGGAAAACUAGACUGCCACAUGUGAAUCAAUGAAACUGGAAUACACCCUCACACCAUGCACAAAGAUAAACUCAAAAUGGCUUAAAGACUUAAAUGUAACACAACAAUUUUAUGAGAAACAAAGAGCAUUUUAUAAUGAUAAAAGGGUCAAUACCACAAGAAGAUAAAACACUUAUAAAUGCAUAUUCACUUAAAAUCCAAGCUCCAGAAUACAGGAAAAAAAACUGACAAAAAAAGAAAGAUGAAAAGACAAUUUAACCACUAUAAAUGGAAAUUUCAAUGUCCUGUCUUCAAUAAUGUAUAGAAAAACUAAACAGAAGUAGUAGUUAUAUAAAAUAUUUGACGAUUUAACUAACUCCACAUAAAUGACAUAUAGAACACCUCACUGAACAGCACAAUAAACAUUCUUUUUAAAUAUGUAAAACAUAUACUAGGCCCUAAAAUGAGACAAAUUAAUAUUGAAGUCAUGCAAAGUAAGUUCUCAGCCUGCAAUAUAAUUAAAUUAGAAAUUAACAAGAGAGAGAAAUUGUUAAACUCCUCCAAAAUUUGGAACUUAAACAGCAUACAUCCAAGUAAUCUUUGGUUCAAAUAAGAUAUAAUAAGAGAAAGUAUAAAUAAAAUAUUCUGAUUUUUAAAAAUUACAUAACAAAAUUUAUAGGAAGCAGAUAAAACAGUGAUUAGAAGAAAAUAAAUAACUUUAAAUGUUUUUACCAGAAAAGAAGAAAUUUUUCAGUUAAAUAACUUAGGCUUGCACCUUAAUAAAUUAGAAAAAGAAGAAUAAAUUAAACUGAAUACAAGCAAAAUAAAGAAAAUCAAAUUAUAGGUGAUAUCAGGGAAAUACAAAACAGGAAAAAAAUCAAUGAACCAAAAAGUUGAUUCCUUUAAAUAUCAACAAAGCUGACAAAUAUUUGUCUAAACUAACCAAGAAUGAAACAGGUAGAUACAAAUUACCAAAAUCAAGAAUUAAAGAGAAUACAUACUCUAGGCCUCAAAAUUGUAAAUAUUUAAGAGAUUCUUAUGAAUAAUUUUUGGCAUCAUUGCACAACUUAAAUGAAAUAGGCAAAUCCCUCAAAUGACACCAGUAUCAAAAUUAUCCUAGGAAAAAUAAAGAAAUAAAAAUGGACCUAAAAUAAGUGAAGAUAUUGAAUUACUAUUAAAAAUAUUCCCAAGGAACUUAGCACAGAUGACUCACUGGUGAAUUCUAUCAAAUACAUAAAAAAUAAAUAAUACCAAAUCUUUAGAAAACUAUCUCAGAGUAUAGAGGCCAGUAAUCUACUGAUGAGAGCCAAAGACAUCACAGGAAAAGAAGAGUGUAGGUCAAUAGUCCAUAUAAACAUAAAUACAAAAUACUAAAAUAUUAGAACUAAAUCUAGUAAAAUUUAAAAUAGGUUAUAUACCACAACCAAGUGAGGUUCAUGCCACAAAUGUGAGUUGGGGUUAGCACUGAAAAAUUAGCACAACUUUAUCAAGUCCAUAAGAUACAAGAUCACAAUACCAAAAUCAAUUAAAUUUCUGUAUGUUAACAAUAAAGAGCCUAAAAAAAUUAAGAAAACAAUUGCAAUCACAAUAAUAUCAAAAUAUAAAUUACCUAGGCACAAAGUUAACCAAAGAUAGUGUAAGAUUUUUACACUGAAAAAUACACUGAUAGAAAUUAAAGAUUUAAAUUAAUAGAGAGAUCUUUCAUGAUCAAAAGCUGGGAAAAAAAUAUUGUCAGGAAGUCAAUUUAUUCCAAAUUUAUCUAUAAAAUCAAUGCAAUUGUUAUCGCUGCCCCCAGAGAAUUUUUGUAGAAUUCAACAAGAUGAUUCUAAAAUAUAUUUAAACAGAUCGUGACUAGCCAAAGCAAUUUUGAAAUAAAUAAUGUUGGAGGAUUUAUAGUAUCUAAUUUGAAAACUCACCAUAAAGCAACUAAUAAAUAUAGUGCAGUAAUGGUGUAAAUUUUAUAUGCAUAUAAAUCAGUGGAACAAAAUUGGGAUUACUUAUCAAUUAUUACACUUUAAAUAUGUGCAGUUUGUUGUAUGUCAGUUUUACCUCAGUAAAGCUUUUAUAAUACAAAGCCCAGCUAGAGUGUCAUUUUGUACACUGAAGUAUUUCAAAAAGUGAGACGUUGUGGAUUUUAAUCAUAGCUUAUUUUUUAGUUCCUUCAUGUGCAUCCUUAAGGAAUUUCUUUUCACUCAGGCACAGAUAUGCCAAUUACAGAUAUUUUUUCCCAGAUAAAUUUGAGAAGUUUUAAAAUUUCUGAAAGCCUAAUCCAAUCUUCCUAGAAAAGGUGAAAAGUUUUGGACAGUAGUGACUGGGACUGGACGCAUGAUAGAAUUAAAAACUGGCUUUACUUUCUUGUCAAUUUUUUUCAUAAUUUUUGGUGAGGUUGAAGAAAGACAUGAUGUUAAAUGUACAGUUUGAGGGUUGAGACAAUACGUGGAUAUGUUUAUUAGAAUUGAGAAAUUUUAAAAAGGUCAUCUUCAUGUAGUAUAAAUUUUGGUAUGAAAUGAAAGAAAAGUAAAAUGUGUUGUGCAGGACAUUGUUCCAAGUAAUUAGGAAUCUGUGCUCCUUGGAUUGUUAAUAACCAUCUACCUUUGAGCUAAAACACUUCUCUAAAUUGUUUCGUCAUCCAUAAAAUAAGGCACCGUAUCAGAUACUACCUAGGAAUAUUAUCUUUCUAUAAAAAUACUAUGUUUCUAGAAUGUAUGCCGCAUUUCUGUCCCUUUUAUUACUGUUUUUUUAAGGUGAGUAAGGUUUUAUAUUUCAAUUUUUUGAAUUAUUUCUCUACAGUUUAAGCAAUGCACUUCAUAUUUUAGACCUAAUUUGGAUGAAUAAAGAAUCAGGGUGUAUAACAGACCACGUUUUUUUAAAAGAAACGUAUAAGAAGUAUUUAAGGACAAAAAGUAUUUAAGCCUAUAUAAUCUGCCCAUGAACCUAUACAGUAUAAUCUGAUUUCAGUCUAAAGAAACUUUAACAUGUUCAUUGCAAUGGUAAAAAAGGCUCAGUAUCACCACAUGUACAAAAAAUAUUUUGUUUGUAAAAUAAAUAACUCUCAAAAUGAAUAGAUUUUGUUAUUUUAAUUAUCUUUACUAUGCAGUAAAAUGAUAUAGACUGUAAUGAUCUGAUUUUGAUUUUAUGGAGUUUAUAUAAUUUAUAUUUGUUGUAAUCCAAUUUGUUUAAUGAUAAAAUUGAUAAUAAUUAUAAAUACUAUGCUAUGGCAAUAUUCUUCUAAGCAGAAAGUCCUUACAUGGAAUUCUACCGUACACAUAAUCUCAACUGGAAUCAAAUUUCAUUAGGUGUACAGAGUAAUUAAACCCUGCCCCUGUCUCACAUUUGAAGUAUUAUGAUAGUAAACUAGAUUGAAGCUCAUGUAAUUUUCCAUGAAUCAAUACAAUAUAAUCCGAUUCCAAUAGGGAUUGAGCUACCUAGAAUGUCACAAAAUAGCAUUACAAUCUUCGAUUUUGUUGAGAUGCUAAAUACAUUUUCUCUGUAAUGUUGCUUAAUGUCCAGGAUAUCUGAAUAAGAGAAGCACUAUCUUACCAAGAUUUUAUUUUCAAGCACUUCCAUUUUGAGGGACUUUUUUAAAAACACUAUCACACAAUAUGUUUCUGAGAUAUUACCAUCUUGAACUUUCACAGUAUGCAGUUAUUCUAACACAGUGUAAAAUUUUUUCCACAAUAAGAGUAAACAUGUUUAAUUGAUGCAAAUAUCAAGCAGCAUUGUCACAUUUUUCCUAGAAUUAUUUCCACAGUGGAUCUUUUAUACAGGAUAUUUUAAAAGUAAAGAAAAUAGAGAAGCACAUAUAGCUCACUUAUUGCUAACAACCCAAAUAAAUUAAGAUCAUGAUAUUUAAAGAGAACUAUGACAUUUGGCACUUCAUUUUAUUUUAAAUUUAAUUGAGCAUGGAGAAAGUUUUCUAUGUGCUUAAACAUUUUAUUAAACUUUUGAUAUAUUUUAUUGUUCAGCUGCCUUAUGUAAAAUGGAGAUUAUUACUUUUUGAUAUCCGAGGCAUUGUGUGGCCAAACUAUUAAGUCUUACCAGUGUGAUAUAUUGUCCAUUUAAAUAUCCCAACAGCUUGCAUUAGUGUAUUUCUAUUUCAUUUGCCAUUAUUAAUUUUCUUUACAUGUGGGAAUAUUAAAUCAGGUAAAGAUUUGAAGUUAACACUUCAUGAGUGUUUGAGUUCAUGCCUGUUGCCUCUCAUUCAAUUGAGAUAAACAACAUUUGUGUAUUUGUCCACUCCAAGAAACCCUCUCUAUUUCAUAAUAGUCACUCAUCCUCAAAGUCUGGGUUUCUCUACAAGUUUGCUGUUACACCUGUCCCAACUCCACUGGCCACAGAAGUAUGGCCAUGACAAUGAUAGCUGUACCAAUCAGACACUCUCUGAAAGAAAUGUGAAAUUGAAUUUGAAAUGUGAGAUAUAAGGUAGUGUAAACUUUAGUGUGGAGGACCAGUUGUGAGAAUAGAGGAAAUAAGAUAGUCUCUCUUCAAAGGAUGAAUCAGACAUGAAAGACACCAUGUAGUUCCUGAUAGAGGAUUUACCUUAGUUCCCAGCAUUUUUUUUUUUUUUUCAUCUCAAUACUUCUGUGUCUUUUUUUUUUUCCCCAUCUUCCUAGGGUCACACCUGUGGCACAUGGAGGUUCUCAGGCUAGGGUUUGAAUUGGAGCUGUAGAAUCUGGCCUACACCACAGCCACAGCAAUCCAGGAUCCAAGCCGUGUCUAUGAUCUACACCACAGCUCAUGGCAACACUGGAUCCUUAACCCACUAGUAAGGCCAGGGAUCAAACUAGUGUCUUCAAGGACUACUCAAGCUCAUUAACUGCUGAGCGACAACAGGAACUCCAACACUCUGUGUCCUGACUCUAUUCUUUCUACUUGAAUGCAUGAGCCAAACCUAUGUCUUCAUUGGGUACAAUAUAAAAUCUUAAGCUAGUUUUAAUAAAGAAAGAAAUGCACUGCUUACUAUUGACCCAGCACUGUUCUAAGAAUUUUAUUAAGCCUUGCAACAACUAGAGGUAGGUAUUGUUACCAUCCUCAUUUAUAGAUGAGGAUACUGAGGCAUAGAGAGGUUAUAUAAUUUCCCCAUAAGUUAUGCCUCUUUUAUAUAAGGCAGUUAAACCAAAAAUUAUUGAAAGUGUAAUAAAGAAUUGUUUAAACACAUUAAAAAACCUUUGUCCAUGCUCAAACUUGGACUUUCAAGACUUGCAAUUAGAAAAUUCAGGGAGUUCCUGUCGUGGUGCAGUGGUUAACGAAUCCGACUGGGAACCAUGAGGUUGCGGGUUCAGUCCCUGCCCUUGCUCAGUGGGUUGACGAUCCAGCGUUGCCGUGAGCUGUGGUGUAGGUUGCAGAUGCGGCUCGGAUCCUGCGUUGCUGUGGCUCUGGCGUAGGCCGCUGGCUACAGCUCCGAUUAGACCCCUAGCCUGGGAACCUCCAUAUGCCG